GAUGAACGCUAGCUACAGGCUUAACACAUGCAAGUCGAGGGGAAACGAUAGAGAAAGCUUGCUUUUUCUAGGCGUCGACCGGCGCACGGGUGAGUAACGCGUAUCCAACCUGCCCACCACUUGGGGAUAACCUUGCGAAAGUAAGACUAAUACCCAAUGACGUCUCUAGAAGACAUCUGAAAGAGAUUAAAGAUUUAUCGGUGAUGGAUGGGGAUGCGUCUGAUUAGCUUGUUGCGGGGUAACGGCCCACCAAGGCGACGAUCAGUAGGGGUUCUGAGAGGAAGGUCCCCCACAUUGGAACUGAGACACGGUCCAAAACUCCUACGGGAGGCAGCAGUGAGGAAUAUUGGGUCAAAUGGACGAGAGUCUGAACCAGCCAAGUAGCGUGAAGGAUGACUGCCCUAUGGGUUGUAAACUUCUUUUAUAAGGGAAUAAAGUGAGUCUCGUGAGACUUUUUGCAUGUACCUUAUGAUAAGGACCGGCUAAUUCCGUGCCAGCAG
Molecule: ribosomal RNA, 500 nt
Filed under: uncultured bacterium
Lineage: Bacteria
Description: bacterial SSU rRNA
Rfam family: Bacterial small subunit ribosomal RNA
Source: RNAcentral